Molecule: long non-coding RNA, 278 nt
Filed under: Panax ginseng (ginseng)
Lineage: Eukaryota; Viridiplantae; Streptophyta; Magnoliopsida; Apiales; Araliaceae
Description: long non-coding RNA (PGIN_LNC014131)
Source: RNAcentral
UCCUUUUCAUUCUCCUCAACAAACUUCUUCCUUCCCAUAUUGCAAAACAAAAACAAAGAGAGUGAAGAGGGAGCAAGAGAAGAGAGAUUCAUAUGGCUUGAGCAAGAUUGAAGCAAGCAAACAACAAAACAAACUCCUACAAACCUCCAUAAUCAACCUACUUCAUCCUCUCCACCGAAACAUUAAUAUUUUCUAGAGAGAGAGAAAUGGGUGGAGUGAUUUUACUUGAUUUAAGCUACGGGAGUGUUCAAGGAGAAAGGAAAUCAGAUUCUAGCAGG